CAAAGAUAAAAACACAGCUCCGGUUGGUAGUCCGGACGCGGCUUAUGCCGUCAGUAACCUGCCUCCUUGGUUGUCCCUUCUUUGCCGUUU
RNAcentral lists this non-coding RNA (90 nucleotides) under human gut metagenome. RNAcentral describes it as "yjdF RNA". It matches the Rfam family "azaaromatic riboswitch aptamer (yjdF RNA)", at positions 6 to 91 of the family's 101-position model. The record is from RNAcentral.